Molecule: ribosomal RNA, 229 nt
Filed under: uncultured bacterium
Lineage: Bacteria
Description: partial 16S ribosomal RNA
Rfam family: Bacterial small subunit ribosomal RNA
Source: RNAcentral
UGCGUAGGCGGGCUAAUAAGUCAGUGGUGAAAUCUUUCGGCUCAACCGAGAAACUGCCGUUGAUACUGUUAGUCUUGAGUUCGGUUGAGGUAGGCGGAAUGUGUAAUGUAGCGGUGAAAUGCUUAGAUAUUACACAGAACACCAAUUGCGUAGGCAGCUUACUAGACCGACACUGACGCUGAGGCACGAAAGCGUGGGGAGCGAACAGGAUUAGAUACCCUGGUAGUCC